Molecule: long non-coding RNA, 1022 nt
Filed under: Marmota monax (woodchuck)
Lineage: Eukaryota; Metazoa; Chordata; Mammalia; Rodentia; Sciuridae
Source: RNAcentral
AUUUUUUAAUUUUGAGACAGGAUUUCAAUAAAUUGCCAAAGCUGGCCUCAAUUCUGUGUUCCUCUGCCUCAGCCUCCAGAGUUGCUGGGUUUACGGGUGUGCUCCAUCACUCCUGGCAUGUGUUAGUUUACAUUUUCAAGUAAUAUGUUCAAUUUGAUUUCCCUUACCUUCUGGACCAGAUAUAUCUGUUCAGUUGAUAAACCUAAAGUUUGAACAAUGGAUCAGCAAAUACACUCUGUCCUGUUCUCAGACUUUUUAGACAUGGGUAGCAGACCAAAAUGAAUCAGACCAUACUGCUGUUAUUUGAAAAUGUAACAUUAAGUGUGUCUUAAGUCUCCUGACUUUGUGGAUCCAGAUCCGCUGCACAGGGCAUAUAUGUAUAUUUUGGGGUGGGGUGGGGGUGUAUCCUUUGGAGAAGGAAACAACUACAUCUUAUUCCAGAUCUGAAGUCAUCAGAACAGGCUGAUAUAGAGUCACACUGGGUUGAUAUACAAUCAACAGAAACCUUAGACCUUGUUUUCAUGCCUAAGAGUAUUUUAUGUUAUUCUCUUUGGAGGGUAAGUCAGCUGUCCUCAAUUGGUGACAGUAGGUUGAGCUGAUGAUACUGGUAACUGGAGUCUGAAAAAUCCAUCCCAAAUACCAACCAUCGCGGCCCAAUUUAGAGGAAAAAAAACCGACAGCUUUUAUUAAUAAAACAAAAGGAAACUUCUGUAAAAUAAGGAGUGGUGAGAGCUGCAGCAAACCCGAGGGGCUGCCUGAGCUGCUCCUUAUCCUGUUGGACUGUUUUCUUGGGGUAUUUAGACUUCCUGGUAGAAGGGAUCUGCAUAGCCCCCACAGCAGAAGUUGUUCUCCAAUAGAAGAAGUAGGUUUUUCAGCUCCUCUAGGAAUGUCCAUUACUGGUCCUCUCUAACUCAGGUAAAAAGUUUGCUUACACAGGUGCCAGAUUUUUCUGUGCCUCUUGAACUCUUCUUCCAAGCUUUGGAGUCACCUAUUUGGUCAAGGGGAGUCUAGGACCAUCAGAG